Molecule: ribosomal RNA, 484 nt
Filed under: uncultured bacterium
Lineage: Bacteria
Description: partial 16S ribosomal RNA
Rfam family: Bacterial small subunit ribosomal RNA
Source: RNAcentral
AUUGAACGCUGGCGGCAGGCCUGACACAUGCAAGUCGAGCGGAUGAAGGGAGCUUGCUCCUGGAUUCAGCGGCGGACGGGUGAGUAAUGCCUAGGAAUCUGCCUGGUAGUGGGGGAUAACGUCCGGAAACGGGCGCUAAUACCGCAUACGUCCUGAGGGAGAAAGUGGGGGAUCUUCGGACCUCACGCUAUCAGAUGAGCCUAGGUCGGAUUAGCUAGUUGGUGGGGUAAAGGCCUACCAAGGCGACGAUCCGUAACUGGUCUGAGAGGAUGAUCAGUCACACUGGAACUGAGACACGGUCCAGACUCCUACGGGAGGCAGCAGUGGUGAAUAUUGGACAAUGGGCGAAAGCCUGAUCCAGCCAUGCCGCGUGUGUGAAGAAGGUCUUCGGAUUGUAAAGCACUUUAAGUUGGGAGGAAGGGCAGUAAGUUAAUACCUUGCUGUUUUGACGUUACCAACAGAAUAAGCACCGGCUAACUUCGUG